AUACGUAGGUGACAAGCGUUAUCCGGAUUUACAGGGCGUAAAGGGCGUGUAGGCGGUCUUGCAAGUCAGAAGUGAAAUUCCUGAGCUCAACUCGGGCGCUGCUUCUGAAACUGCAGGACUUGAGUGCUGGAGGGGAUAGCGAAAUUCCUAGUGGAGCGGUAAAAUGCGCAGUUAUUAGGAAGAACACCGGUGGCGAGGGCGGGUUGCUGGAUAGAGACAGACGCUGAGGCGUGUAAGCGUGGGUGGCAACCAGGAUUAGAUACCCUGGGUGGCCACGCCGUAAACGAUGAAUACUAGGUGGAGGGGGUAUCGACUCCCUCUGUGCCGCAGUUAACACAAUAAGUAUUCCGCCUGGGGAGUACGGCCGCAAGGUUGAAACUCAAAGGAAUUGACGGGG
RNAcentral lists this ribosomal RNA (397 nucleotides) under uncultured bacterium. RNAcentral's name for it is "partial 16S ribosomal RNA". It matches the Rfam family "Bacterial small subunit ribosomal RNA", at positions 523 to 918 of the family's 1533-position model. The record is from RNAcentral.